Molecule: transfer RNA, 83 nt
Filed under: Methylomagnum ishizawai
Lineage: Bacteria; Pseudomonadati; Pseudomonadota; Gammaproteobacteria; Methylococcales; Methylococcaceae
Description: tRNA-Lys
Source: RNAcentral
CGUUCCAACCGGCCCGGCCCAAGGCUUCCAGGUUUUCCCUGGGAAAGAUGCCGUGGGUGUCGAUCUUGUCGGCGUUGGGGCGG